UGUUAUAGUGUGAUAUGAUUUCAUGCUGAAAGCAAUACUUUCUCGUUUUGCCUGUGAAUUUCUUUUAAUUAUUUCAAAUAUUUAAAAGUAGGCAGGCUGCCCAGGUGUUUGGGUUCAGCAACCAUGAUCAAAAGGAGAGGGAAAAUGUGGUUUUCUUUUAUUGCAUUUCCCUUGAGCAUCUUCAAGACCCUUUGAAAGAACAGCUGCCUAGCCCAGGCAACCUCUCUUCUUAGCCUACACGGAAGAAAUGAAAUUCACUCCCAAAGUGCGGGUGUUUUCAGGACCCAGUGAACUGGAACUUGCAGCGUCUUCUGCAAGCUCCGUUGGGCCGGCCUUUCAUGUGAGCAGGAAGGAAAUGACUGACAACUUUCUCGUCUUUAUGGAAGGCGGACUUUAUUUCCAGCUCUCAGGUCAAAAGGCGGCGGAAAGAAAACAAAACCACUAAGAGAUAAAGGCUAAAAAUAAUGUCCUGUGGGGUGAAUCAACCCAGUUUGGGACCCUGAAGACAGCAACAAGGCAAGGAUGUGCGUAGGGCUAAAUCUGCGUCAUCCUUCACAGGUGGUCGUGACCAGAAUCAAAAUGCCUGGGCAAGAGAGGAAGAAGUUCUGCAAACAGACAAGCACAUAACACCACCCUGACACUGAGCAGAUCAUCUCCAGCUCCCUUCAUAUUAUGCUACUGGAGACCAAUCUUUAUAACCAGAAGAGGAGGAGGAGGAGUUAUUCUAACCUGUCGUUUUCUUCCUUUACAUCACUUUUUCCUUUUAGGUCAUAUCCAAAAAAGGAAGCUUCACCUGUGAAUUCUUUCUAUGAGAUCCACUACUGGGAAAUUCUGGGAGCUCCAGGGAAGAGCUGCACAGCACAUUUCUGGCUAAAUAAAUAAGGUUUUCUAUCUUGAUUUAUUCAUUCAGCGAGUACAUGUCUCCAUGUCAAAGGCUGACCUAAGAAUCUUCCUUAUAAAAAUUCAGCAAGCAUAUCAUUGCAUUUUUUUUAAUUAAAAGGAUUGUGUGACAAGGGAAGCAGUAUUCUACAGUUUAUCAAGAAUGAGUAGAGGAAUCACUAUACAAAGUAUAAUUUGUGCCUUUUU
RNAcentral lists this long non-coding RNA (1086 nucleotides) under Homo sapiens (human). Its description in RNAcentral is "HSALNT0391277". The record is from RNAcentral. Lineage: Eukaryota; Metazoa; Chordata; Mammalia; Primates; Hominidae.